GCCAGUGUGGCGUAGUGGUCUGAGUGUUGGGCUGCUACUCUAGAGACUAGGUUCAGUUCCCAGCUCAGCCA
Molecule: non-coding RNA, 71 nt
Organism: Phrynosoma platyrhinos (Desert horned lizard)
Lineage: Eukaryota; Metazoa; Chordata; Lepidosauria; Squamata; Phrynosomatidae
Source: the annotation of a GenBank genome assembly